Molecule: transfer RNA, 76 nt
Filed under: Phaeospirillum sp.
Lineage: Bacteria; Pseudomonadati; Pseudomonadota; Alphaproteobacteria; Rhodospirillales; Rhodospirillaceae
Description: tRNA-Val
Rfam family: tRNA
About the family: Transfer RNA (tRNA) molecules are approximately 80 nucleotides in length. Their secondary structure includes four short double-helical elements and three loops (D, anti-codon, and T loops).
Source: RNAcentral
GGGCGGUUAGCUCAGUUGGUAGAGCAUCUCGUUUACACCGAGAAUGUCGGCGGUUCGAACCCGUCACCGCCCACCA